Non-coding RNA from Hanseniaspora uvarum DSM 2768, 93 nucleotides. Lineage: Eukaryota; Fungi; Ascomycota; Saccharomycetes; Saccharomycodales; Saccharomycodaceae. The record is from Rfam.
UGUUAUAUGAUGAUAAUUUUUACUCAGCUCACUCAGAUUCUUCGUGAUUGACAAAAUUUCCAUAUACUUCAUCAAAUUAUACCUGAAACAAAG